CAGUACUUCUGGGGACAUUUUCUAUUAUCAAGAUCAAGAGUGAAAUGCUCUCCUUCUCUGUGGUCAUCUAGAGGCAAAGAUGAUGUCACGUUGUAAACAGAAGGAGAAGAUUCAGAGCUGCCGGCCAUGCUGGGAUCACAGCGAUGCCCCCUUCCCUCCCUCACACUAGGACAGUUGAAUGAGCAGCCAAGAAGACAAUAAAUCAGAAAGCUUUGUCUCCCUCCACUUCCAGUUUUGCCUGGGGAAGUCAACAAUCUUCUACAUUGUGUGGGACACGUGCAAGGCUCUGUGGGACUGUCUGCAAAAGGAUUUCAUGCCACAGCCUUCAUCACAGCAAUUGAUCAGCAUCGCAGACAAAUUCUGGGAAGUUUAAACUAGCAUGAAAAUGGAACAGUGAAACUCAGCAGCACACCAUAGGUUCAUCCAAGAAGGAGCAAAAGAAUCCAGUAUCCAAAGAAGAAGAGCUUAGAGGAAUGUUGGACCAAUCGUCCCUGUAUCCAACUAUCAAGAAGAAUCACAAGUGUAAGGAGACAUUGCCAUGCAUGUAUCAACCUGAGCAAAUAAAAACAAAAAUUGUUAUUAUUUAUUAUUCUUAUAGAAGUAUUGGCCUGAGUAACCCCCAAGAUUAUCGGAUCCGUGUUUACACCCCUCAAGUGUACUACAGCCCACUACUCAAACAAAUGAAGUGCCAAAUGUGACAUGUGAUGGGUGACCUAAUACGUGCAUAUACUAUGUGUAAAAAAAAUGUGACUUAAUAUAAAUGUGAAUGGACUAUUAUUUGUGAAAAUGGAAUAUAUAUGUGUGAAAAAGGAGUGUGAAAUAAAAUAUGUG
Long non-coding RNA from Hyla sarda, 831 nucleotides. RefSeq lists it as uncharacterized. The record is from RefSeq and is a predicted model, not a curated record. Lineage: Eukaryota; Metazoa; Chordata; Amphibia; Anura; Hylidae. The transcript is spliced from 4 exons.